Molecule: ribosomal RNA, 318 nt
Filed under: uncultured bacterium
Lineage: Bacteria
Description: bacterial SSU rRNA
Rfam family: Bacterial small subunit ribosomal RNA
Source: RNAcentral
UUACAGUACCGCAUGAUACAGUGAUCAAAGGAAGGCAAUCCGCUGAAAGAUGGGCGUCGCGUCCGAUUAGAGUAGUUGGUGAGGUAACGGCUCACCAAGUCGACGAUCGGUAGCCGGACUGAGAGGUUGAACGGCCACAUUGGGACUGAGACACGGCCCAGACUCCUACGGGAGGCAGCAGUGGGGAAUAUUGCACAAUGGGCGAAAGCCUGAUGCAGCAACGCCGCGUGAGGGAAGACGGUUUUCGGAUUGUAAACCUCUGUUUUCGGUGACGAACAAAUGACGGUAACCGAGUAGGAAGCCACGGCUAACUACGUG